UAGGGAAUCUUCGGCAAUGGGGGGAACCCUGACCGAGCAACGCCGCGUGAGUGAAGAAGGUUUUCGGAUCGUAAAGCUCUGUUGUUAAGGAAGAACGAGUGUGAGAAUGGAAAGUUCAUACUGUGACGGUACUUAACCAGAAAGGGACGGCUAACUACGUGCCAGCAGCCGCGGUAAUACGUAGGUCCCGAGCGUUGUCCGGAUUUAUUGGGCGUAAAGCGAGCGCAGGCGGUUAGAUAAGUCUGAUGUGAAAGCCCCCGGCUCAACCAUUGUAGGCUUUGGAAACUGCUCAUCUUGAGGUAUGGAAGGGAAAGUGGAAUUCCUAGUGUAGCGGUGAAAUGCGCAGAUAUUAGGAGGAAUACCGGUGGCGAAGGCGACUUUCUGGCCAUAACCUGACGCUGAGGUACGAAAGCGUGGGUAGCAAACAGG
RNAcentral lists this ribosomal RNA (429 nucleotides) under Bacteroidota bacterium. RNAcentral's name for it is "Bacteroidetes bacterium partial 16S ribosomal RNA". It matches the Rfam family "Bacterial small subunit ribosomal RNA", at positions 355 to 776 of the family's 1533-position model. The record is from RNAcentral. Lineage: Bacteria; Pseudomonadati; Bacteroidota.